UACGUAGGGUGCAGGCGUUGUCCGGAAUUAUUGGGCGUAAAGAGCUCGUAGGCGGUCUGUCGCGUCGGAUGUGAAAACCCAGGGCUCAACCCUGGGCCUGCAUUCGAUACGGGCAGACUAGAGUUCGGUAGGGGAGACUGGAAUUCCUGGUGUAGCGGUGAAAUGCGCAGAUAUCGGGAGGAACACCGGUGGCGAAGGCGGGUCUCUGGGCCGAAACUGACGCUGAGGAGCGAAAGCGUGGGGAGCAAACAAG
RNAcentral lists this ribosomal RNA (253 nucleotides) under uncultured bacterium. RNAcentral's name for it is "partial 16S ribosomal RNA". It matches the Rfam family "Bacterial small subunit ribosomal RNA", at positions 524 to 776 of the family's 1533-position model. The record is from RNAcentral.